GAAAUGCGAUAAGUAAUGUGAAUUGCAGAAUUCAGUGAAUCAUCGAAUCUUUGAACGCACAUUGCGCCCGCCAGUAUUCUGGCGGGCAUGCCUGUCCGAGCGUCAUUUCAACCACCAAGCCCCCGGGCUUGUGUUGGGGACCUGCGGCUGCCCGCAGGCCCUGAAAACCAGUGGCGGGCUCGCUGUCACACCGAGCGUAGUAGCAAUCACCUCGCUCAGGGCGUGCUGCGGGUUCCGGCCGUUAAACAGCCUUACAAAACCCAAGGUUGACCUCGGAUCAGGUAGGAAGACCCGCUGAACUUAAGC
This 306-nucleotide unclassified non-coding RNA is filed under the name plant metagenome. RNAcentral's name for it is "partial contains 5.8S ribosomal RNA, internal transcribed spacer 2, and large subunit ribosomal RNA". The stretch from base 1 to 105 matches the Rfam family "5.8S ribosomal RNA", at positions 50 to 154 of the family's 154-position model. The record is from RNAcentral.